Molecule: ribosomal RNA, 253 nt
Filed under: uncultured bacterium
Lineage: Bacteria
Description: partial 16S ribosomal RNA
Rfam family: Bacterial small subunit ribosomal RNA
Source: RNAcentral
UACGGAGGGUGCAAGCGUUGUCCGGAUUUAUUGGGUUUAAAGGGUGCGUAGGCGGGUUUUUAAGUCAGUGGUGAAAGUAUGUCGCUUAACGAUAUAAUUGCCAUUGAAACUGAAGGUCUUGAAUACUGUAGAGGUUGGCGGAAUUCCGCAUGUAGCGGUGAAAUGCAUAGAUAUGCGGAGGAACACCGAAAGAGAAGUCAGCUAACUGGGCAGAUAUUGACGCUGAGGCACGAAAGCGUGGGGAUCGAACAGG